UACGUAGGGUGCAGGCGUUACUCGGAAUUACUGGGCGUAAAGCGUGCGCAGGCGGUCUGCUAAGUCAGGUGUGAAAUCCCCGGGCUUAACCUGGGAACUGCGCUUGUUACUGGCAGGCUGGAGUGUGGCAGAGGGGGGUGGAAUUCCACGUGUAGCAGUGAAAUGCGUAGAGAUGUGGAGGAACACCGAUGGCGAAGGCAGCCCCCUGGGCUAACACUGACGCUCAUGCACGAAAGCGUGGGGAGCAAACAGG
RNAcentral lists this ribosomal RNA (253 nucleotides) under uncultured bacterium. RNAcentral's name for it is "partial 16S ribosomal RNA". It matches the Rfam family "Bacterial small subunit ribosomal RNA", at positions 524 to 776 of the family's 1533-position model. The record is from RNAcentral.